This is a long non-coding RNA of Lagopus muta (rock ptarmigan), 2291 nucleotides long. RefSeq lists it as uncharacterized. The transcript is spliced from 2 exons. NCBI's taxonomy places the organism in Eukaryota, Metazoa, Chordata, Aves, Galliformes, Phasianidae. The record is from RefSeq and is a predicted model, not a curated record.
UGGUCAGCCUGUGCCUCCCUUUGCUGAGUUGCAUCACCUUCAUUCUUUGCUGGCCUGGUUUUGAUCCACUCCAAACAAUAUUUCUUCCUCUUCAGUGCUUACACCCUUCAGAGAUUCUUAGACAGCUAUUAUGUCCCCCAUUAGUUUUCCCUUGGUCUACCUGUAAGCAUUCACCCCUUUUAAUCUUCUCCCAUCAGCCUGUCCCUCCUGCCCCUCCAUCAUCUCUGCUGUUCUCCAAAUCCCCUCCUGUUUGUCCACAUCUUUCUCAUUUAUGAAUCCAUGAUCUCAUUUAGCAUUUGAUUUCUGCCAAAAAUAGAGUUGAGCUUGAUUGUUUUCACUGAUGACUGAAAGAGGCACGAAUUGUUGCUUGGAAAACAGUCCUUGAGACAGCAAUAUGAAAGGGAAAAAAUGAAGGCAGCUCCACCAGGCAGACGAACACACAGAUAUUAUCACGUAGGGCAGCUUUGGCUAGAUUGAAUCUCAGAAGUGCGUGAUGACAGUAAUAGCCACCACUAUUAGAGUGUUUAGCUUUUAAACAGAAAUGUGAGUUAUAACUCAGGCCCCAGCAUAAAUCACAGAGCCAUGAAAAUCUUACAAAUGCAUGCCUGCACAAUGCACCAAUAUGAAAUUCCACGUCCUUGGUGGAAGCAGCACAAUUGCAACUUCCUUUGCGUAGGAAAAUGUGUGUGUUUGACUCAGAUACAGCAAUUUGGCUUCAGGCACAUCGCCGGGACCUUCGGCUUGGGAAGUUAUCAUCUUUUCUUUCUUUUUUUUGAAGGGAACAUUAUCUGAGUGCUCACCGGUGGGGAAGGGAGGUGCUGAGGGCAGAGGUGGGCUGCAGAACCGCUCUCACCUGCGGUCGAGCAGCUGGCCCGGCCACCCCGAGACGAGGCCGGUAACGAGAUUCCGUGAUCUGUACGGCCGAACGCCGAUCGAGGAGCUCGGUUUGGAUCCCAGACUCAAUGCUGACGCCUGGCUUCAGUCUGCAAACUGCCAUUUCUCGGGGCCGCGCUGAGCGCUCCCGCUGCCCAAGGGCGGCCGCACGGCGGGGCUGCGGGUGGGGCCGCUUCCCCUGGGAAGGGGCUGCUGGCCGGCGGGACCCCGCAGAGGCUACACUGUAUCUCAGGGGGAUUUCCAUUUAAAUGCUCCUUGGCAAAGCGCCCUCAGAAAGCUGCUGACGCCUCGUGGAAAGCUUUGGAAAACAUGCUAAUGAAUUAGAAACAAAGCGGCGUCUCUAUCGGAUCCCAGAGCCGCUGUGCCUCCCUCUCUCGCCGCCCGUCACCUCCCGAGAUACGUGCGUGACAAGGGCAGCUUUGUGCCUCCGGGCUCCGCUCCGCGGCCGCGUGUUCCCGCAUCUAAAGGCCGUUCUGGUGGGACCUCGGGCAGAGGGGCUGCUGGAAAUUCUCCUGCCACUCUGGGGAACAGCAAUGAAGCGAUGAAAGAGGAAGAAUGUGAGAAAGAGAGAGAGCAUCAAUCCUGAGCCCCACUGCUGGGCUUUGGAGCGUUCCCACUUGGCCAGGGGAAAGCGAGCAAACAAACGUAGCAACAACCAGCCGGCACGAAGCAGCCGGGCAGCAGCGGCUGCAGCCCUGAGCUGGCAUCAGGCAGUGCACCUCAGCGCUGUGCAGGGUGAGCCCGAGCCCCUGGGCGCUGAGAUGGGAGAGGAUCCGAGAGGAGGCGGCCCCGCAGCCGCUCACUUCCCCAGUCCUCAAUUCCUCCUUUCUCCCGGAGAACCAAGAUCAGCACGGCUCCUCGCAUUGCUUUGCAUCUGAACAAGGGCUUAAAUGUCCACACUGACUCAAUGCACGCUGGAACACUUCCAGAAAGUCAGCAAAUUUGCUCUCCCUCUCCCUUUAAAUGCUUUGGCUUCCUGCAGGAAAAUGAAAUCCAUUAACAAGUUCCACCCCGCUCCAAAUUCAAGGCUAGAACUGUCAAUGCUUUAGGAACGAGCUAAAUGGAGGGAUUUCCAUAACAAUCAACAGCUACAGCAUUAAUCUAUAGUCAUAUUAACCUGGGAUGACAAGGACACGUCUGUCUGUUCUCUCUAAUGUAAUCUACCAUUAUACUCGGACUCCAUUGAAGUCUGCUUUGUAGUAUGCAUUUGGCUGUGAUCAGCUAAUCUCUCUGGCUUUAAGCACAGCUUAGAAAAGACAGCGAGGGAGACAGACAGAGCAAAGCGAUGAAUAUGCAUGUGUGUGUGCUUAGCAUGUGUCUGCCUCUAAUGUAUGUGCGAGCAUGUGCAGCUGCACACAGGAGCUGUGCCGGUGCUGCAGGGCUGCACUGUGCCCGCG